This 676-nucleotide long non-coding RNA is filed under the name Arachis ipaensis. RNAcentral describes it as "long non-coding RNA (AIPA_LNC002023)". The record is from RNAcentral. Lineage: Eukaryota; Viridiplantae; Streptophyta; Magnoliopsida; Fabales; Fabaceae.
CCGGCGACCUUCCGGCCUCCGCCAGCACUAGCAUGGCCUCUUCCCUGUUCAUGUCCCGUUCUUCCUCAUCUUCACCACUACCGCCGCUGCCGCCCCCUCCGCCGCCGUUCCCGGGGGGUCCGCCGCCAUUUCCAGUUGAGAAAACGACGGUAGCUGGAGAAUGGAGAAAAUUGGUGUGCGUGAGGAUGGGUUCACAUGAGCGAUUGAGCUUGGACUUGAAGAGGAUGAAGGUCCUAUGGUAGGUUAUGAUGGUGAAGCUCUGUAGAGAAGAGUGGCCGCAAUGGUAGAAGUUGGCUUGGGUGUGAGGGCGAAGAGAGAAAGUGCGCGCGGAGAUAUGGGAGAAGGAAGCCAUGGCCAUUUUAGAGAGAGGAGUUGAUGGCAGUCAAAAAUGGAGGGAUUAUGGAGGGAGAGACACAAUUUGAUAAGCUACUUGUUCAUUUGGUCUAUUGUCGCGCGACCCAUUCGGACAACACGAACUAAAUUAUUGGUAACAAAUAACAAUGGAUAAAAUUAUGAGAGAAAAGGGGAAAUAAGUUUUUAACUUUUUUAUUCAUAAAUAUUUAAGUUUUGUAAAUUUAAAAAUAUAUUUAAAUUUUUAAUUUUUUUAAAAUUUAGAUCUAUCGAUUUUUUAUAUUUAUUUGAGUCUGUUAGAUCUAAUGGAAAAAUUAAACAUAAC